GGGCCCGUGGCGGAAUUGGCAGACGCAGCGGACUUAAAAUCCGCAGCCGGUCAACCCGGCGUGUGGGUUCGACUCCCACCGGGCCCA
RNAcentral lists this transfer RNA (87 nucleotides) under Phycisphaeraceae bacterium. RNAcentral's name for it is "tRNA-Leu". It matches the Rfam family "tRNA". From Rfam's summary of the family: Transfer RNA (tRNA) molecules are approximately 80 nucleotides in length. Lineage: Bacteria; Pseudomonadati; Planctomycetota; Phycisphaerae; Phycisphaerales; Phycisphaeraceae. The record is from RNAcentral.